GUUCAAGGCAAAGCAGGAAUUCCCAGGCAAAACUUGUAUACCUUGAAAACAAGUCACUUUGGGGGAUUGUGGUAUGCCAGCGGAGGGCACGGUGUGAACGGAGAGGGCAGGGGAACAUGAAUAGGUCUACUCUGAUGGGACUGGCACUCUCUGGCUCUGCAGUGGAAUAAAAGUGACAGUGAGGAUUAGAGGAGAGUUCUUCAGCUUGCAGGAUAAGCUGAUCUUCCAUACUUCAGGCCAGUCUGGGGAUUGACACAUCAGAUGAAGAUAUGAAGUGGUGGGUGUGCAUGGAGGCAGGCCAGGCGCCCAGCGAGUCCCUGCGCUUCUCACUUGGUUAACACCUCACACAGAGCACAGAGCCAGGAAUACACUGCCUCUCUCGCUCUGUGACUAAAACAGUUAAUUUGGACCUGCAGGGUCUUCUGCUCCUCAGAGCCUCCACUGAAGGAGGUGGGAGAUAUUCUUAACUAAUGUCGGAAA
Carassius auratus (goldfish) is the source of this 480-nucleotide long non-coding RNA. RefSeq lists it as uncharacterized. Lineage: Eukaryota; Metazoa; Chordata; Actinopteri; Cypriniformes; Cyprinidae. The transcript is spliced from 3 exons. The record is from RefSeq and is a predicted model, not a curated record.